This 72-nucleotide antisense RNA is filed under the name Actinoplanes awajinensis subsp. mycoplanecinus. RNAcentral describes it as "ASpks TB sRNA". It matches the Rfam family "ASpks TB sRNA". Lineage: Bacteria; Bacillati; Actinomycetota; Actinomycetes; Micromonosporales; Micromonosporaceae. The record is from Rfam by way of RNAcentral.
CUUGAUCGAGCCGAGCCAGAGCGGCGCGUCGAUGCGGUCCUGGCCGUAGGUGGCCAGCAGCGCCUGCGCCUC